This 291-nucleotide ribosomal RNA is filed under the name uncultured Brucella sp. RNAcentral's name for it is "partial 16S ribosomal RNA". It matches the Rfam family "Bacterial small subunit ribosomal RNA", at positions 381 to 689 of the family's 1533-position model. Lineage: Bacteria; Pseudomonadati; Pseudomonadota; Alphaproteobacteria; Hyphomicrobiales; Brucellaceae. The record is from RNAcentral.
CCUGGAUCCAGCCAUGCCGCGUGAGUGAUGAAGGCCCUAGGGUUGUAAAGCUCUUUCACCGGUGAAGAUAAUGACGGUAACCGGAGAAGAAGCCCCGGCUAACUUCGUGCCAGCAGCCGCGGUAAUACGAAGGGGGCUAGCGUUGUUCGGAUUUACUGGGCGUAAAGCGCACGUAGGCGGACUUUUAAGUCAGGGGUGAAAUCCCGGGGCUCAACCCCGGAACUGCCUUUGAUACUGGAGGUCUUGAGUAUGGUAGAGGUGAGUGGAAUUCCGAGUGUAAAGGUGAAAUUC